Molecule: ribosomal RNA, 452 nt
Filed under: uncultured organism
Description: partial 16S ribosomal RNA
Rfam family: Bacterial small subunit ribosomal RNA
Source: RNAcentral
UACACUCCUACGGGAGGCAGCAGUGGGGAAUAUUGGACAAUGGGCGCAAGCCUGAUCCAGCCAUGCCGCGUGAGUGAUGAAGGCCCUAGGGUUGUAAAGCUCUUUCACCGGAGAAGAUAAUGACGGUAUCCGGAGAAGAAGCCCCGGCUAACUUCGUGCCAGCAGCCGCGGUAAUACGAAGGGGGCUAGCGUUGUUCGGAAUUACUGGGCGUAAAGCGCACGUAGGCGGAUCGAUCAGUCAGGGGUGAAAUCCCAGGGCUCAACCCUGGAACUGCCUUUGAUACUGUCGAUCUGGAGUAUGGAAGAGGUGAGUGGAAUUCCGAGUGUAGAGGUGAAAUUCGUAGAUAUUCGGAGGAACACCAGUGGCGAAGGCGGCUCACUGGUCCAUUACUGACGCUGAGGUGCGAAAGCGUGGGGAGCAAACAGGAUUAGAAACCCCUGUAGUCCCAUGA